GACGAACGCUGGCGGCGUGCUUAACACAUGCAAGUCGAACGGAAAGGCCCUGCUUUUGUGGGGUGCUCGAGUGGCGAGCGGGUGAGUAACACGUGAGUAACCUGCCCUUGACUUUGGGAUAACUUCAGGAAACUGGGGCUAAUACCGGAUAGGAGCUCCUGCUGCAUGGUGGGGGUUGGAAAGUUUCGGCGGUUGGGGAUGGACUCGCGGCUUAUCAGCUUGUUGGUGGGGUAGUGGCUUACCAAGGCUUUGACGGGUAGCCGGCCUGAGAGGGUGACCGGCCACAUUGGGACUGAGAUACGGCCCAGACUCCUACGGGAGGCAGCAGUGGGGAAUAUUGCACAAUGGGCGGAAGCCUGAUGCAGCAACGCCGCGUGCGGGAUGACGGCCUUCGGGUUGUAAACCGCUUUCGCCUGUGACGAAGCGUGAGUGACGGUAAUGGGUAAAGAAGCACCGGCUAACUACGUGCCAGCAGCCGCGGUGAUACGUAGGGUGCGAGCGUUGUCCGGAUUUAUUGGGCGUAAAGGGCUCGUAGGUGGUUGAUCGCGUCGGAAGUGUAAUCUUGGGGCUUAACCCUGAGCGUGCUUUCGAUACGGGUUGACUUGAGGAAGGUAGGGGAGAAUGGAAUUCCUGGUGGAGCGGUGGAAUGCGCAGAUAUCAGGAGGAACACCAGUGGCGAAGGCGGUUCUCUGGGCCUUUCCUGACGCUGAGGAGCGAAAGCGUGGGGAGCGAACAGGCUUAGAUACCCUGGUAGUCCACGCUGUAAACGGUGGGUACUAGGUGUGGGGUCCAUUCCACGGGUUCCGUGCCGUAGCUAACGCUUUAAGUACCCCGCCUGGGGAGUACGGCCGCAAGGCUAAAACUCAAAGGAAUUGACGGGGCCCCGCACAAGCGGCGGAGCAUGCGGAUUAAUUCGAUGCAACGCGUAGAACCUUACCUGGGUUUGACAUGGAUCGGGAGCGCUCAGAGAUGGGUGUGCCUCUUUUGGGGUCGGUUCACAGGUGGUGCAUGGCUGUCGUCAGCUCGUGUCGUGAGAUGUUGGGUUAAGUCCCGCAACGAGCGCAACCCUUGUUCACUGUUGCCAGCACGUUAUGGUGGGGACUCAGUGGAGACCGCCGGGGUCAACUCGGAGGAAGGUGGGGAUGACGUCAAGUCAUCAGGCCCCUUAUGUCCAGGGCUUCACGCAUGCUACAAUGGCUGGUACAGAGAGUGGCGAGCCUGUGAGGGUGAGCGAAUCUCGGAAAGCCGGUCUCAGUUCGGAUUGGGGUCUGCAACUCGACCUCAUGAAGUCGGAGUCGCUAGUAAUCGCAGAUCAGCAACGCUGCGGUGAAUACGUUCCCGGG
RNAcentral lists this ribosomal RNA (1343 nucleotides) under uncultured bacterium. RNAcentral's name for it is "16S ribosomal RNA". It matches the Rfam family "Bacterial small subunit ribosomal RNA", at positions 28 to 1378 of the family's 1533-position model. The record is from RNAcentral.